RNAcentral lists this ribosomal RNA (279 nucleotides) under uncultured bacterium. RNAcentral describes it as "partial 16S ribosomal RNA". It matches the Rfam family "Bacterial small subunit ribosomal RNA", at positions 506 to 784 of the family's 1533-position model. The record is from RNAcentral.
UGCCAGCCGCCGCGGUAAUACGGAGGAUGCAAGCGUUAUCCGGAUUUAUUGGGUUUAAAGGGUGCGUAGGCGGAAUAUUAAGUCAGUAGUGAAAUCCUGCAGCUCAACUGUAGAACUGCUAUUGAUACUGGUAUUCUUGAAUUUAGUUGAGGUGGGCGGAACGUGUAAUGUAGCGGUGAAAUGCUUAGAUAUUACACAGAACACCGAUUGCGAAGGCAGCUCACUAAACUAACAUUGACGCUGAGGCACGAAAGCGUGGGGAGCGAACAGGAUUAGAUA